AUACGGAGGGGGUUAGCGUUGUUCGGAAUUACUGGGCGUAAAGCGUGCGUAGGCGGACUAUUAAGUCAGAGGUGAAAUCCCGGGGCUCAACCCCGGAACCGCCUUUGAUACUGGUAGUCUUGAGGUCGAGAGAGGUGAGUGGAAUUCCUAGUGUAGAGGUGAAAUUCGUAGAUAUUAGGAGGAACACCAGUGGCGAAGGCGGCUCACUGGCUCGAUUCUGACGCUGAGGUACGAAAGUGUGGGGAGCAAACAGGAUUAGAUACCCUAGUAGUCC
This 274-nucleotide ribosomal RNA is filed under the name uncultured bacterium. RNAcentral's name for it is "partial 16S ribosomal RNA". It matches the Rfam family "Bacterial small subunit ribosomal RNA", at positions 523 to 796 of the family's 1533-position model. The record is from RNAcentral.